AUCAUACUCAAAAAAAAGAGUUUGAUCCUGGCUCAGAAUGAACGCUAGCGAUAUGCUUAACACAUGCAAGUCGAACGUUGCUUUCGUUGUUACGUGUUGAAGGUCGCAUUCGGAGGAGAAAACCUUUUUUCUUCUCUGAGCUGCUCAACCCUUAGUCAGUUGAGCCUGCGGCCUCCGAUCAACCGUGAGAACCGUUGAAAACAAAGUGGCGAACGGGCGAGUAAUAUGUGGGAAUCUGCCAAACAGUUUGGGCCAAAWSSCKRAKRAGCGAAAGGAGGAAUCCGCCCGAGGAGGGUCUUGCGUCUGAUUAGCUAGUUGGUGAGGUAAUGGCUCACCAAGGCGACGAUCAGUAGCUGGUCUGAGAGGAUGAUCAGCCACACUGGGACUGAGACACGGCCCAGACUCUUACGGGAGGCAGCAGUGGGGAAUUUUCCGCAAUGGGCGAAAGCCUGACGGAGCAAUGCCGCGUGGAGGUAGAAGGCUCACGGGUCGUAAACUCCUUUUCUCRKMGAAGAUGCGAUKAUGACRKYAKMKGARGAAKAAGCMYCGGCUAACUCYGUGCCAGCAGCCGCGGUAAGACGGGGGGGGCAAGUGUUAUUCGGAAUGACUAGGCGUAAAGGGCACGUAGGCGGUGAAUCCAGUUGAAAGUGAAAGUCGCCAGCUCAACUGGCGGAAUGCUUUCAAAACCAAUUUACUAGAGUAAGGCAUAGAGGAAAGCGGAAUUUCGUGUGUAGCGAUAAAAUGCAAAAAUAUACGAAGGAACGCCAAAAGCGAAGGCAGCUUUCUGGUUCUUUAACCGACGCUAAAGUGCGAAAGCAUGGGGAGCAAACAGGAUUAGAUACCCUGGUAGUCCAUGCUGUAAACGAUGAGUGUUCGUUCUUGGUCUACUGAUAUCGCACUCUUUCGGUCCGACUUAAGCUCGGCUUAAUGCUUAAAUUACUGCAAAGGUAGUGUGACUCGAUUGUUUCCUUCAAGUUCCAACAAUCGUGAAAAAUAUGUGAUGAUCAGGGGCUGAGCUAACGCGUUAARCAYUCCGCCUGGGGAGUACGGUCGCAAGGMUGAAACUCAAAGGAAUUGACGGGGGCCCGCACAAGCGGUGGAGCAUGUGGUUUAAUUCGAUGCAACGCGAAGAACCUUACCAGSSCUUGACAURYSRMKAAKYKUGCUUGUCCUUAACGGGAUGGUACGGAAAUUCAUACAGGUGUUGCAUGGCUGUCGUCAGCUCGUGUCUUGAGACGUUGGGUUAAGUCCUAUAACGAGCGCAACCCUCGUUUUGUGUUGCUAAGACAUGCUCUGGUUCAAUCCUUGACCACUGGAGACUGACGAAGACUACGCCGUGAAAAUGGAGGAUACCAAUGAGCUGAGUUUUUGCAAACGCCGUGUGGCUCAUUCCGAAAAAAAUAUGACCAUACAAAGUUUUAAUACGGUACUCUCCGACGAACGAAGCUCUCGGAGCAUUGUACACUUCACACUGAGGAACUCAGUCUUAGUCAAAAUGAUUGAAACUCCAAGCCAUGUGCUGCACUCACAAAAAACUGCCAGUGAUAUACUGGAGGAAGGUGGGGAUGACGUCAAGUCCGCAUGGCCCUUAUGGGCUGGGCUACACACGUGCUACAAUGGCAAUUACAAUUGGAAGCAAUGCUGUAAGGCGGAGCGAAUCCAGAAAGAUUGCCUAAGUUCGGAUUGUUCUCUGCAACUCGAGAACAUGAAGUUGGAAUCGCUAGUAAUCGCGGAUCAGCAUGCCGCGGUGAAUAAGUACUCGGGCCCUGUACAAACUGCCCGUCAAACCAUGGGAAUUGGUUUCGCCCGAAGCAGCCGACCAAAGAUCACCCAUUACUCGGGGUGUUCCACGCCGUUGUUGAGUGCGGUCUACCAGAGGCAUUGGUGAUCUCAUGUAGGAGACCAAGGUUGGGCCAUUGACUGAGGUUAAGUCGUAACAAGGUAGCCGCAGGGGAACCUGUGGCUGGAUUGACUCC
RNAcentral lists this ribosomal RNA (1976 nucleotides) under Ptilidium pulcherrimum (naugehyde liverwort). RNAcentral's name for it is "SSU rRNA". It matches the Rfam family "Bacterial small subunit ribosomal RNA". Lineage: Eukaryota; Viridiplantae; Streptophyta; Jungermanniopsida; Ptilidiales; Ptilidiaceae. The record is from RNAcentral.